UGCCAGACUCCUACGGGAGGCAGCAGUGGGGAAUAUUGCACAAUGGGGGAAACCCUGAUGCAGCGACGCCGCGUGAGCGAUGAAGUAUUUCGGUAUGUAAAGCUCUAUCAGCAGGGAAGAAAAUGACGGUACCUGACUAAGAAGCCCCGGCUAACUACGUGCCAGCAGCCGCGGUAAUACGUAGGGGGCAAGCGUUAUCCGGAUUUACUGGGUGUAAAGGGAGCGUAGACGGCUGUGCAAGCCAGAUGUGAAAGCCCGGGGCUCAACCCCGGGACUGCAUUUGGAACUGUGUGGCUGGAGUGUCGGAGAGGCAGGCGGAAUUCCUAGUGUAGCGGUGAAAUGCGUAGAUAUUAGGAGGAACACCAGUGGCGAAGGCGGCCUGCUGGACGAUGACUGACGUUGAGGCUCGAAAGCGUGGGGAGCAAACAGGAUUAGAUACCCCCGUA
RNAcentral lists this ribosomal RNA (446 nucleotides) under uncultured bacterium. Its description in RNAcentral is "bacterial SSU rRNA". It matches the Rfam family "Bacterial small subunit ribosomal RNA", at positions 329 to 792 of the family's 1533-position model. The record is from RNAcentral.